This 1406-nucleotide long non-coding RNA is filed under the name Daphnia pulex (common water flea). Its description in RNAcentral is "uncharacterized LOC124194496, transcript variant X4". The record is from RNAcentral. Lineage: Eukaryota; Metazoa; Arthropoda; Branchiopoda; Diplostraca; Daphniidae.
UGUUGACAGCCAUUACUCAUUAGAUAAUUGUGUUGAGUUGUUGUCAAAAGUUUUCCUAUUUUUCCAUGAAAAUUACCCAUGAAUUCAUAAGAAGGAACUGGAAAGGAAACAGUGGCAUACAGUUGCCUACCAUCACUAACACCAACUCUUUUAUUAAAAAUCUUCGUUCUGCUGAAUGCAUCAUGCAGUUAAUACAGGUCACUACCCCAGUGUGGACAUGUUUGUUUUUCAACAAAUAAUUCAUUGACAUACAAGGAAAACUAUGAAAAAUAUCAUAUCAUCUUGGCCAUGGGUAAUCUUCAGGUUUAUUGCAGCAGCUUAAGAGAAGAAUAUGAACAAAUGCAGGGCAAAUACCAACAUGUGUUGUAUUUUUCUGAAUGUUAAACACAAGCAGUAGAUUCAACAUGACUAACUGUUUGAUGCCAAAGUUGGUUGGAACUCAACUCACUGUACGUACUCUAACACAGAUAACUGGUGCUGUUGCCUUUCAGCCACAGGCAGGAAAAUCAUUCUUUUCUUCAGAAAAUUGGAAAGCUGCUGGAGUAAUCUGGUGUUCAUGCUCAUUUGAUUCAUUUCGUGCCAGCUAGUGAAAGCCGAAAGGCAUGUCAAUUCAAUUGAGUUGCUCCGUGCUGUCUCGAAGCAAGCAAUCCAGCCGUUGCGUUCAGUCAUUUGGAACAGGAAUCUAAUGGCUGUGAAUAAGUGGCUGAAAUAAUGUCCACCAGGUGGCGCGAGUGUAUUCAGGGACAGGGAAGCACAUCGGCCAUUUUGUUCCAAGACGCAGCAGAAAUGGGUUGUGAGUUGUGACGUUUCUCACGAUGAAAAUUAAAAGGUGAUUUAGCACGUAGAAACCAAGUUGCCAAAUCAUUCAGCUCGGACUUGGAAGUGUCUGUACAUUUCCGAAAUGGCGUGCCUCGUGUGUCUCGCUGCCUGUUCUUAGACGUACAUCUCAUCACUUUAACAGCAAAAAGUAUAACAAACACUUCUUUAACGCUGGUGGUUGCCUUGUUGCAGCAAAAUGGUGAACGGUGUGAUGAAGACACACUGAACUUUGUAUGCAGCAUGCGGUCACAGUGUAAUCCAGAAGUUGCUGUGCUGUUGUAGCUGAGCUGUUCCAUCUGGGUUCCUGACUUAAAAAUUUUGGUUUUGCUGUUUGUGUUUUCAACCAUGCCAUAAGAAAUUGCUUUGCGAGAGAUAUUUUGUGUUGCUGAGUUCAAAGUUUGAUCUGUUGUCUUUUGAGUCUUCAUUCAAUCAUGCAGUAUAUGACUGAGGCAAUCUGAUCAAUAUCAGGUUUGACACAGUCGAGAACUGCUAGAUAAAACAAGCUUUCUGCUCCAAACAAAUAAUGACUUGCAUAUAUCUUGCAUCAUGUUAUUAUCGCGGUAGAGAAAGCGACAGGCCCCCCCCCC